This 633-nucleotide ribosomal RNA is filed under the name Leistus taiwanensis. RNAcentral describes it as "partial large subunit ribosomal RNA". The stretch from base 387 to 546 matches the Rfam family "Bacterial large subunit ribosomal RNA", at positions 2473 to 2632 of the family's 2925-position model. The record is from RNAcentral. Lineage: Eukaryota; Metazoa; Arthropoda; Insecta; Coleoptera; Carabidae.
GUCCUUUUGAGUUUAAUUUAAGGUCUAACCUGCCCACUGAAAUUUUUAAUGGCCGCAGUAAUUUGACUGUGCAAAGGUAGCAUAAUAAUUAGUUUUUUAAUUAAAAGCUUGUAUGAAGGGUUGGACGAAAUAAAAUCUGUCUCUAUUUAAUUAAAUUUAGAAUUUAACUUUUAAGUUAAAAGGCUUAAAUAUUAUUAAAAGACGAGAAGACCCUAUAGAUCUUUAUAUUUUUUUUUAUAAUUUUAAUUAGGAAUUAUUAAUUUUUUAUUAAAAAAAGUAUUUUAUUGGGGUAAUAUAAAGAUUUAAAAAAUUCUUUUUUUAUAUAAACAUAUAUUUAUGAUAUUAAUGAUCCAAUUUUAUUGAUUAUAAGAUUAAGUUACCUUAGGGAUAACAGCGUAAUUUUUUUUGAGAGUUCUUAUCGAUAAAAAAGUUUGCGACCUCGAUGUUGGAUUAAAGAUUAUUUUAGGUGUAGAAGCUUGAAAAUUUUGGUCUGUUCGACCAUUAAAUCUUUACAUGAUCUGAGUUCAGACCGGCGUAAGCCAGGUCGGUUUCUAUCUUUAAUAAAUUAAAAUAUUUUAGUACGAAAGGACCAAUUAUUUAAUAUAUUUAUAUUUAGUUUUUGAAUAUUAUUAA